AUACGGAGGAUCCGAGCGUUAUCCGGAUUUAUUGGGUUUAAAGGGUGCGCAGGCGGGAGAUUAAGUCGGCGGUGAAAUUUUUCAGCUCAACUGUAAAAGUGCCUUCGAUACUGGUUUCCUUGAGUGUGGGUGAAGUAGGCGGAAUUUGUGGUGUAGGGGUGAAAUGCUUAGAUAUCACGAGGAACUCCGAUUGCGCAGGCAGCUUACUAAACCACUACUGACGCUCAGGCACGAAGGCGUGGGGAUCAAACAGGAUUAGAUACCCUGGUAGUCCACGCAGUAAACGAUGAUUACUGGCUGUUUGCGAUACAAUGUAAGCGGCUGAGCGAAAGCGUUAAGUAAUCCACCUGGGGAGUACGUUCGCAAGAAUGAAACUCAAAGGAAUUGACGGGG
RNAcentral lists this ribosomal RNA (393 nucleotides) under uncultured bacterium. RNAcentral's name for it is "partial 16S ribosomal RNA". It matches the Rfam family "Bacterial small subunit ribosomal RNA", at positions 523 to 918 of the family's 1533-position model. The record is from RNAcentral.